Mus musculus (house mouse) is the source of this 1148-nucleotide long non-coding RNA. RefSeq annotates it as predicted gene 14040. The transcript is spliced from 3 exons. NCBI's taxonomy places the organism in Eukaryota, Metazoa, Chordata, Mammalia, Rodentia, Muridae. The record is from RefSeq and is marked validated.
AGGAAGAGGCCAGGAGAGAAGUCGAAGAAGGAACAAAGCUUGGAGUGGAAAAUCUGAUGGAGAAUUCAAGUGUCAGGGUCAUCUGACCAGCAUCCUGACUCCACUGGCUCACAGUGUGAGGCUGUGGAGGCUGCUGCUCUUCUCGGAACCUUUCUCUUGGGUCCUGAGACACUGGUUAGCACAAGCUGCACACAGUACUCAGCAGGGUUCCUGCUCGCUCUCGAAAGCCAUACUAUACUGCUGAAGAAAGUCGAGGCAGAAUCCUGGAGCCAGGAGUUGAUGCAGAGACCAUAGAAGAUUGCUGCUUACUGGCUUGCUCCCAGUGGCUUGUUCAGCCUGCUUUCCUAAAGAUCCCUGGAUCACCAGCUAAGGGUGGCCACACCCACAAUGACCUGGACCCCUCCUACAUCAAUCAAUAAUUAAGAAAAUGUCUUUCAGGCUUCCCCUUUCUCAUUGGAGGGAUUUUCUCAGUUGAGAUUCCCUCUUUCAGAUAACUCUACCUUGUGUAAAGUUGACGUAGGACUAGCCAGGCAAAGAGGGCUAAGAGCACCAUCUACUAUCUCAGGUGGUAUCCAGAUACCUGAAAUAUAACUGUACCAACAUACCUGGACAGGGCUUCUAAUACAGGCAAGUAAGCAAGAGUCUUCAAGUGUUGGAUGGAAGAAUUCUUUGGUGUGUCUCAGCAUGUGUGUGUGUGUGUGUGUGUGUGUAUGUGCGUGUGCAUGUGCGUGUGCAUGUGCGUGUGUGUACAUCCUUCUCAAGCAAGGUUAGCACAUAGUUUGUCAGGCUCUGUUCUUAAAAGCCCUAUAGUUAUACAUAAAUCAAAAGAUAUUUUGACUGGCUUAGGGAACUCAGUCAUUAAUAGCAAAAAUAGAUAAAAGAAUGUUAAAAAUUGUAUGUAUGUAUGUGUAUUUUUAUCUGUUUAAAAAGUCUUCUAGAAAAAGCAAUCAAAAACUAUUAGGAGAAUAAAAAUAAAACAAAACAAAAAACAACAUGAAAAUUUCCUAACUACCACUUGUCUGGGAGGCAACAGAAAUUUUCUGCCAUAGCGGGGCUGUAGCAGUCAGGUCUACAGCAAAUAUUAGAACAAAUGUAUAUAAUGUCAAGGGGUAUAAUAGAUAAGAAAAUAAAACAAAUAAUCUACUUGC